GAUCCUGGCUCAGGAUGAACGCUAGCUACAGGCUUAACACAUGCAAGUCGAGGGGCAGCAUGGUCUUAGCUUGCUAAGACUGAUGGCGACCGGCGCACGGGUGAGUAACACGUAUCCAACCUGCCGUCUACUCUUGGACAGCCUUCUGAAGGAAGAUAUACAGAUGGCAUCAUGAGUCCGCCAUGCUCACAUGNUUAAGUAAUUCGUAGACGA
RNAcentral lists this ribosomal RNA (213 nucleotides) under uncultured bacterium. RNAcentral's name for it is "partial 16S ribosomal RNA". It matches the Rfam family "Bacterial small subunit ribosomal RNA", at positions 15 to 225 of the family's 1533-position model. The record is from RNAcentral.